RNAcentral lists this transfer RNA (72 nucleotides) under Nothobranchius vosseleri. RNAcentral describes it as "tRNA-Val". It matches the Rfam family "tRNA". Rfam says of the family: Transfer RNA (tRNA) molecules are approximately 80 nucleotides in length. Their secondary structure includes four short double-helical elements and three loops (D, anti-codon, and T loops). Lineage: Eukaryota; Metazoa; Chordata; Actinopteri; Cyprinodontiformes; Nothobranchiidae. The record is from RNAcentral.
CAGAAUAUAGCUUAAUUAGGAAAGCACUUCACUUACACCGAAAAGAUAUCCGUGCGAAUCGGGUUAUUCUGA